UACGGAGGGUGCGAGCGUUAAUCGGAAUUACUGGGCGUAAAGCGCAUGCAGGUGGUUUCUUAAGUCAGAUGUGAAAGCCCGGGGCUCAACCUCGGAACCGCAUUUGAAACUGGCAAACUAGAGUGCUGUAGAGGGGGGUAGAAUUUCAGGGUGUAGCGGUGAAAUGCGUAGAGAUCUGAAGGAAUACCAGUGGCGAAGGCGGCCCCCUGGACAGCACACUGACACUGAGAUGCGAAAGCGUAGGGGAGCG
This 250-nucleotide ribosomal RNA is filed under the name uncultured bacterium. RNAcentral's name for it is "partial 16S ribosomal RNA". It matches the Rfam family "Bacterial small subunit ribosomal RNA", at positions 524 to 770 of the family's 1533-position model. The record is from RNAcentral.